AUGACAUCACAGCAUCUGUUUAAUAUACAUUUUCAAAAAUUGGAACCGAAGUGACCCAUUGCAGAUGUGAGCAUUGAGCACUUGGGUUUGAACCUCUUUUGCCCCAUGGCCGUGUUUUAGGAGUAUGAGCAAGACUGGGAGGAUUGCAGCAACCUGAAGUUUGAUUACAACGAGAUCAAGAAAACUCUGACACACAAUGAGGAGUUACAGAAGGUCUCCCUGCCUGAAGCUAAGGAGAAACAUCAGAAGGCUUUGGAGACCAUUGCUCAGCUGGAGACUGAAAAGGCCAACCUGAUGAACCAGGUGGAGACACUGCGAGACACAGUGCAGGACAUGGUCAACCUGAUAUAUGAGACUCAGAAGAAGCGUAACGAGAAACAUGGGAUACCUCUUGGAUCCAAAGCGACAACAAGUGUUGUGACAGGAAACGGUGCGAGCAGAAUUGGAUCCACAUCAGAAUCGUCGCCAAUGUGAGGAGUGUAUGAGAGGUGAAAAUAACAAGAAUUAAUGUGAAGCAAAAAGUCGAGCUGAUCUUAAUUUUAAAAAGCCAAUUGAUUUUUCAAAUUCAAAGAAAUUUAAUUAAAACAGUGGACAUUUCAUCAGUUAUCACCACGUGUCCUUUAGCAUUUUCUCCAAAAGGGGGGUCCAUAUGGGAGCAGUGCCCCAGCGGAUGGAGUUAGUCACCACAGAUGCCUCCCGCACUGACUGGAGAGCGGUGUGGUGACUCAUAGGCACAGGGGGCAAGUGAGACUUCAGUGUAAGGAUCUGAGACCGGUCUACCUACCUCAAAUACUCUCAAAUCCAUCUUAUACAUUCCGGGCUUUUUGGACAAGAGGAAUCCGCCUGGGAUGAGUGCCCCAGUGAAGGGAGUUAUCCACCACAGAUGCCUCUCUCACUCUACAAGUAGGCCAGACAACCGGCCCAUGCAGUGACAGGGCUGGUUAUCCAGGCGUUAAACACUGCCCACUGGCUUUUCUGUCACUUGGACCGAGUGCCAACCCAGUGGAAACUCUGCAUUCUGGAUUUUUUUAAUCAAAUAAUCUUUUAAACCCUCAAAUUUAUUGAAUGUACUUGGUUCCCUGAGAUUUUUUUCAGCUUGCUUUUAACUUCACAUGCAUUUUUCACCUCUCAUACCUCAAAAACUACAAAGAAAAUAUAAAACAAGAAAUAAAC
This is a long non-coding RNA of Pangasianodon hypophthalmus (striped catfish), 1173 nucleotides long. RefSeq lists it as uncharacterized. The record is from RefSeq and is a predicted model, not a curated record. The transcript is spliced from 3 exons. NCBI's taxonomy places the organism in Eukaryota, Metazoa, Chordata, Actinopteri, Siluriformes, Pangasiidae.